RNAcentral lists this ribosomal RNA (253 nucleotides) under uncultured bacterium. RNAcentral describes it as "partial 16S ribosomal RNA". It matches the Rfam family "Bacterial small subunit ribosomal RNA", at positions 524 to 776 of the family's 1533-position model. The record is from RNAcentral.
UACGUAGGGUGCAAGCGUUGUUCGGAAUUACUGGGCGUAAAGGGCGCGUAGGCGGUCUUUUAAGUCUUGUGUGAAAUCCCUCAGCUUAACUGGGGAACUGCGUCUGAGACUGGCAAGCUUGAGUGCAGGAGAGGAACGCGGAAUUCCAGGUGUAGCGGUGAAAUGCGUAGAUAUCUGGAGGAACACCGGUGGCGAAGGCGGCGUUCUGGACUGUAACUGACACUGAGGAACGAAAGCCAGGGGAGCAAACGGG